RNAcentral lists this ribosomal RNA (122 nucleotides) under Pteropus alecto (black flying fox). The record is from RNAcentral. Lineage: Eukaryota; Metazoa; Chordata; Mammalia; Chiroptera; Pteropodidae.
GUCUGUGGCCAUGCUACCUUAAACAAGCCUGAUCCCAGAGUCUGAUCUUGGAAGCUAAUUUUCGUUGGGCCUGGUUAGUACUUGGAUGGGAGACCACCUAGGAAGACCAGGUGCUGUAGGCA